Molecule: long non-coding RNA, 820 nt
Filed under: Mus musculus (house mouse)
Lineage: Eukaryota; Metazoa; Chordata; Mammalia; Rodentia; Muridae
Description: long non-coding RNA chr18:83114946-83115766
Source: RNAcentral
UCUCAGUAGGAGGUCUCUGUAGGAAGGCAGUCUCAGGUUGUAGUCCUCUGGGAGGAGAAAGCUGCCUUGCUAGUUCUGCUCACUGUUUCUUGUUAAAGGUUAACAGUUAUCAGUGUCUGUGCUGAGACUUGGGAAGGCUUUGCCCUUGCUGAGCCUGACCUGGGAAGGCUUUGUCACCCGUUGCCAUGGCUCUGAGGCACUGGGGGCCUGAACAUGGCUGUGCUCGAGUCAACAGUCCAUAACCCUCUGGGGAGAAGGGACUCCAUCGCUCUCAGCACUUCCUUCCUCCCACUUGCUCCGGUCAGACGCUGCUUUCCUCAGUUUCUACAGCCCCCUGAGAGUCUGUUCAACCCUGAGCCGGUUGGUGGAUCAGCCCCUUGCUGAAGGCAGAGUCCUUAUGAUGUGUUCGUCUCCCUAAACCCAACCUUUCAGUGGGUACAAGCCUUUAACGUGAUGGACCUUUAGAGGACAUUUCAUAUCCUAAGCUAUAGCAGCCUGGCGACUGGAUGGCCACGUCAAUGUGCUAUAGCAAACAUGAGCAUCAGGAUUUCUGUCAGGGAGGAGAUGUGCCACCCAAGUCAUGGCGGCUCUUUGUGGAGCACUGACAGUUCCAGUGAGUCCAGUGUUUCAGUCUGCAUGUAGGACCAACUCGUGUCUCUCCUCAGGAGUGUGAACACAGGCACUGCAGAGGCCUCUGUGAGUCGGGCAGAGCAUGACACACACAGGAAACACUCCUGUGUUGCCUGAGAUCUGCCCGUCCCAGGGCCACAUUCGUCUGGACACAACACGCUGUACCCACGGGUGACCCUUGUGACUGCCC